AUGCAGUUUGACAUCAGCCGGCCGGCGAGGGCGCGCCUGGAGCCGGAGCACGUGCCAGGAUGUUUUAUUGCCGCCGCGGCUGCGGCCGGGCCGGGAGGAUGUGUGUGUGCGUGCGUGUGUGAGUGUGUGUGCGCGCGCCCCGGGGGCAGGGAGGCGGGGGGCGGCGGCGGGCGGCGGAGCGCGGGGGCUGGUUCUCGGUCCCCGGGAGAAGCCAAGAAGGUAAAUAGCAGCUGCUGUGCUCGAGCCUGGGAAAACCCCGCCCCCUGCGCCUGGCCGGGGCUCAUUGGCGCGCGCUGCGUGUGGGGUGUGUGUGUGUGUGUCCGGGGCCCCCUCCUCCGGCCCCCGCCGCGCCAGGAAUCCGAGGGGGCGGCGGGCUGGGAGCCGAGCCCCGGCGCUUACCACCGCCCCCCGCCUUUCCCCGGCCAAGCCUGCCAGAGCCGAGGUAGCUGCCCUGCCAAGAGCUAUCCUGGGAGAGCUAUUGAAAGAGCCUUGACUGGGGAGGAGCAGUCUUUGAGGAGUUUUUGAGUGAACACGCCAUAUGCCUGUUUCAUCACGAGUGCAAAUCAGCAGGAGGAAAAAGGAUGUCCUUAAAGUGACGUGAAGCCAUCAAAGGAGCUCUCAGGCCCCCCUUCAGAAGGCAAAGGGAAAAAAAAAAAAACAAAACACCUGAGCAAGUUCCUGACAUCAACAUCUGAAUCUUCCUCCUCUGAAUGCUGUAGAGAUGAAACGUUUCUCUGUCUGCUCUGAGCCUCAGUUUCUUUUUUUCUAAAAUGAGGACGAUGACGAUUCCAGCGUAGGCAACUUCGUCGGGUUGCUAUCUGGACCGCAGCAGGUACUGGAUGUGAAAGUACUCGGUAGGCGACGCAGCCCCAUGCACCUGACAGGGGCGGCCCACGUCAGGUCUCAGCCACGUUCUGGGUUGAGGUCUGUGUAGCCUCAACUAGGUCAUUCCUGGCUGGGCGAAGCAGCCCCCUGCAACGGCCCCUGAGUUUCCAGGACUGGAAAACAGAUGAAUUCCACGUGAUCCCUUUCCUCAGGCUUUUCUCCCAGAUGGGGUGUGCCUUGCGGGUGGUGAGGAAGCUUGAGGAAUGCUCCAGGGUCCCUUUACGGGAAGUCUCCAGAUGCGAUCUCCUGUGGCAAACACCUGACCUGAGGACCCCAACCCCCGUCAUCGCCCUGUUAGAGGAGGCAGACUGUGGGAGGUCAUGUGGUGCUGCAUACGUGACGUUGCCUCCCCACGCAGGCAGGAAAAAGAAAGUCCUAAAGGGCACAUAGUUAUUAUUCUGAUUUCAUAGACGAAGAAACCGAGGAUAAGAAGGGUUAAGCUCCUCCUUCACAUUUGCACGGCUAGUGAGAGGGAGAUGUGGCAUUUGAACUUGGGGCAGCCUGACUGCAAAGCCUUGACUGGUUCCUGUAUAUCACCACGUGUGAUACAAUGGUUGUCACGUGUGUAAUAAUGCUUGUCUCACAAGAUGGAAAACUGCAGAGGGUCCGUGAAAGACGGACGGAUAAUGUGCCCGUGCAGUUUUAGAGGAGGGAGGGAUCACUUCCGGUUGGAGAAAUCCAGGAAACCUUCAUUGAGGAGGUGGCUUUUGCCUCCAGGUCUUGAAGAAUAGGCCAGAUUUGGACAUUCAGAGAUGCCUAUUCUUCCCGUCAGUUGUCCCUUCUGCGGGCUGUGUGGCUGGCUUCCCACAUCUGGUGAAUCUUCGCAAAAUCCAUUUAGUCCCCAGCCUCAUCCUCGUUCUCACUGUCCCCGCACAAGAGAAGUCCCGGAAUACCGGGAACGGGAGAAGAAGUCACUCUGAACUGGGUUCGACUAAAGAACCUUCCUGGAACAGGCCCUGGGGAGAGGUCUGAUGCGGUGGGUCAAUUAAGAACCGGAUUUUAUUGCAGAUUUAUUGCAGCCUUCCUUCCUUCCUUCCUCCCUCCCUCGUGUCCUGAGUUCCUGCUCUCUGCCUAGGGCAGUGCUGAGUGCUGGGGACGGGGAGGUGGGGGCCCACUCUGACACAGUUUUUGGCCCCCGGGGAGUCUCAGUGUUUAAUGAUGGGAGGGAUAAGGUUGCAGGGCCCCAGGGUCCCAGUGUUUGCCUAGAAAUUCAAGAAGCCCCCAGGGUGGGGCAGGGUGACCCCGUUGAGGGGUGUGGGUAACUAGAGUAAAAGAAAAUAAGCUGGCCAUACAGAGCAGGGGAGGGGGCGGGGGGGGGGGGGGCGGGAAGAGGGUGUUUGGGGGAGGGGCGGACGCGGAGGGGAGAAGCUUGCAGGGCAGCCAGAGGGGGAGGCCCGGGCCUGCUGCUGAGAGGGCUGAAUGAGUCAGGAGCCGGGCAGCUGGCUCACCCAGAGGCCGCCCCACCGCACCUGGCCUUGCCCACAGCUGUGCUCCAGCGAGCGGCCCACGCCAGCAGCCAGCUUUCAUCAGGGCAGCCAGAGCAGAACUUGGCUGCUUCACUGAUUUUCUUCUGCCUCUCGCCGCCCACUCGGGGAGAGCUUGUAGAACGCGGCCUGUAUCAGCGACGAUUGGGUAAACCAAGGAUGAGAGACGCUGCACGACGUCCUUGCACCCGCUUCCUUCCCAGAUGCAGGGGCCGCCAGCACAGGGCCUGAAGUUUCUCCGCCGACGUGUGCCCUUCAGCCGGCUCAGGGUCCUGCCCAGCCGCACCAUGGGGGGGGAGGGGGUGCCUCGGCCCUGGAAGGACCUGAGGGUAGCUAGGCCAGCGGUUGCUAAACUGACAGAUGGUUACCUGGGAAGCUUUGAAAAGUACACGGUGCCAGGCUCUGAGCCCAGACGUAUGACUCAGUAGUCAGGGUCUCGUCCCUGUCCGGUUGUUGAUUCUGCAGGUCCCACGCUCGGAGGGGUGGUCCCCUGGGGCCGGUGAGGCCCAGGCAGCACUUUCCUUCCUUGCGCUUGGCAACCGGCCUUUUCUUGUGAAUUUAUCGUUCUCAUUAAGGGAAUGGCUCUCAAAACCCGCUGAGAGGACCAACGCUAUUGUGCUCCUGAAUGCCGGGCUGACCGGCCAGGAGAGGGUUUCUGGGCUGGCUCUGUUCCAUUUCAUCAUGGAGAAGGAGGCUUUCCCCCGGGGGUGGGCGAGUGUUGUCUGUUGCCUUGAGAUGCUGCCCCUCAGCUGUGGGGAGAGCUGGUCAGCCAGAAAUGUCCUCCCCAGGGCUCAGGCCUACCCGGCCGAGAAGAGGGUCUGUGGACAGACGCUGCUGCCCGCCUCCCCUCGCGUGCCCCCAUCCCAACCUCCAGGGCUGGCUAAAGAGCAGGCUGUCUCCUGGAGGAAUUGAGACCUUGGGCAUCUCUCUGGGAAGUCAUUUUAAAUCUCAUUUCUAAGUCCCAAGAGGUGCUCAGCAAAUGGAUAGUAAUGAUUUUUAUUCCAUGUGCCUGAGAUUUGCUCGCGCAGACUUUCACGGGUUCGUUCCCUGUGACGCCCUGGGAGGAGAGGGGACAGGGGACCAUCUUCCCAUGCUGAGCUCAGAAAGGGAGUGGGCUCCCGAAGUGUUUGGUCCUAAAGGACCAAAAGUGUGUGUUAGGUACCGUCACAUGGUUGAGAAAGAAAGAGAGGGAGAGAAGGAGGGCCAGAGGGGGAGAGAGAGAGAUGGAAAGAGAGAGGGAGAGAAGAAACAACUGAUAAAGCAAAUGGGGUAAAAUGUUAAUAGUGAAUCACCUGGCUAAAAACAUACAGGUGGUUUUGACUAUUUUGACAAUAUUUUGAAGUUUUAAAUUUAUUUUCAAAUAAAAACAUCUUUGAAAAGGGGAGGUGGUUUAUU
RNAcentral lists this long non-coding RNA (3764 nucleotides) under Felis catus (domestic cat). RNAcentral describes it as "lncRNA (ENSFCAG00000047880.1)". The record is from RNAcentral. Lineage: Eukaryota; Metazoa; Chordata; Mammalia; Carnivora; Felidae.